CGAAUGAAGGUAACGCCACCUGUUCAUCUUCAACGCUUCUGGCGACCUUCAAUAAAACCCCACCUACCUCAUCCGCCCAGGUAACUCGAAACCCAGAUUUCUUCUUAACCCCUACUUCCUUCCUUGCAUUACCAGAUACAGACCUCCUUAAAGACUCCUGCCAACCCGCUCCCUUCCCUCCUCGGCUUGACUCACCUACCUCGAAGCUCCUAGAUACAG
This 219-nucleotide long non-coding RNA is filed under the name Ananas comosus (pineapple). RNAcentral describes it as "long non-coding RNA (ACOM_LNC027447)". Lineage: Eukaryota; Viridiplantae; Streptophyta; Magnoliopsida; Poales; Bromeliaceae. The record is from RNAcentral.